GACGAACGCUGGCGGCGUGCUUAACACAUGCAAGUCGAACGGAAAGGCCCUGCUUUUGUGGGGUGCUCGAGUGGCGAACGGGUGAGUAACACGUGAGUAACCUGCCCUUGACUUUGGGAUAACUUCAUGAAACUUGGGCUAAUACCGGAUAGGAGCUCCUGCUGCAUGGUGGGGGUUGGAAAGUUUCGGCGGUUGGGGAUGGACUCGCGGCUUAUCAGCUUGUUGGUGGGGUAGUGGCUUACCAAGGCUUUGACGGGUAGCCGGCCUGAGAGGGUGACCGGCCACAUUGGGACUGGGAUACGGCCCAGACUCCUACGGGAGGCAGCAGUGGGGAAUAUUGCACAAUGGGCGGAAGCCUGAUGCAGCAACGCCGCGUGCGGGAUGACGGCCUUCGGGUUGUAAACCGCUUUCGCCUGUGACGAAGCGUGAGUGACGGUAAUGGGUAAAGAAGCACCGGCUAACUACGUG
Molecule: ribosomal RNA, 468 nt
Filed under: uncultured bacterium
Lineage: Bacteria
Description: partial 16S ribosomal RNA
Rfam family: Bacterial small subunit ribosomal RNA
Source: RNAcentral